This 440-nucleotide ribosomal RNA is filed under the name uncultured bacterium. RNAcentral describes it as "partial 16S ribosomal RNA". It matches the Rfam family "Bacterial small subunit ribosomal RNA", at positions 338 to 795 of the family's 1533-position model. The record is from RNAcentral.
CCUACGGGAGACAGCAGUGGGGGAUAUUGCACAAUGGGGGAAACCCUGAUGCAGCGACGCCGCGUGAGUGAAGAAGUAUUUCGGUAUGUAAAGCUCUAUCAGCAGGGAAGAAAAUGACAGUACCUGACCAAGAAGCCCCGGCUAACUACGUGCCAGCAGCCGCGGUAAUACGGAGGGGGCAAGCGUUAUCCGGAUUUACUGGGUGUAAAGGGAGCGUAGACGGUUAUGGAAGGCUGGAGUGAAAGCCCGGGGCCCAACCCCGGGACUGCUUUGGAAACUGGGUAACUGGAGUACAGGAGGGGCAGGCGCACUUCCUGGUGUAGCGGUGAAAUGCGUCGAUAUCAGGAGGAACACCGGCGGCGCGGGCGGCCUGCUGGACUGCACCUGACGUUGGUGCUCGAACGCGUGGGGAGCACACAGGAUUAGAUACCCUUGUAGUC